RNAcentral lists this ribosomal RNA (253 nucleotides) under uncultured bacterium. Its description in RNAcentral is "partial 16S ribosomal RNA". It matches the Rfam family "Bacterial small subunit ribosomal RNA", at positions 524 to 776 of the family's 1533-position model. The record is from RNAcentral.
UACGGAGGGGGCUAGCGUUGUUCGGAAUUACUGGGCGUAAAGCGCGCGUAGGCGGAUCUGCAAGUCGGGGGUGAAAUCCCGAGGCUCAACCUCGGAACUGCCUUCGAUACUGCGGGUCUCGAGUCCGGGAGAGGUGAGUGGAAUUCCUAGUGUAGAGGUGAGAUUCGUAGAUAUUAGGAAGAACACCAGUGGCGAAGGCGGCUCACUGGCCCGGUACUGACGCUGAGGCGCGAAAGCGUGGGGAGCAAACAGG